Molecule: ribosomal RNA, 376 nt
Filed under: uncultured soil bacterium
Lineage: Bacteria
Description: bacterial SSU rRNA
Rfam family: Bacterial small subunit ribosomal RNA
Source: RNAcentral
AGAGUGAACGCUGGCGGUAGGCCUAACACAUGCAAGUCGAACGGCAGCACAGGAGAGCUUGCUCUCUGGGUGGCGAGUGGCGGACGGGUGAGGAAUACAUCGGAAUCUACCUUUUCGUGGGGGAUAACGUAGGGAAACUUACGCUAAUACCGCAUAAGACCUUCGGGUGAAAGCCGGGGACCUUCGGGCCUGGCGCGGAUAGAUGAGCCGAUGUCGGAUUAGCUUGUUGGCGGGGUAAAAGCCCACCAAGGCGACGAUCCGUAGCUGGUCUGAGAGGAUGAUCAGCCACACUGGAACUGAGACACGGUCCAGACUCCUACGGGAGGCAGCAGUGGGGAAUAUUGGACAAGUGGGCGCAAGCCUGACUCCAGCCAUA